This 413-nucleotide ribosomal RNA is filed under the name Thermobrachium celere DSM 8682. RNAcentral's name for it is "SSU rRNA". It matches the Rfam family "Bacterial small subunit ribosomal RNA", at positions 8 to 412 of the family's 1533-position model. The record is from RNAcentral. Lineage: Bacteria; Bacillati; Bacillota; Clostridia; Eubacteriales; Clostridiaceae.
GAGAGUUUGAUCCUGGCUCAGGACGAACGCUGGCGGCGUGCCUAACACAUGCAAGUCGAGCGGAGGGGAUAGGAGCUUGCUCCUUGAACCUUAGCGGCGGACGGGUGAGUAACACGUGGGUAACCUGCCCUUGAGAGGGGGAUAACAGGUCGAAAGGCCUGCUAAUACCGCAUAACGCUAAGAUGCCGCAUGGCGUCUUAGCCAAAGGUUAAUUCCGCUCAAGGAUGGGCCCGCGGCCCAUUAGCUAGUUGGUGAGGUAAUGGCUCACCAAGGCGACGAUGGGUAGCCGGCCUGAGAGGGUGGUCGGCCACACUGGGACUGAGACACGGCCCAGACUCCUACGGGAGGCAGCAGUGGGGAAUAUUGCGCAAUGGGGGGAAACCCUGACGCAGCGACGCCGCGUGAGCGAUGAA